CUCAACAGUACAUAGCUUGACCAUUCCUUCGGCGGAAUAGCCCUUUCCAACAAAAUGUCCACUAUGGGUUAAUACAAGUUUUCCAGAUUCAAAGACAGAUUUAAUCCUGGGUUUUCCCAAGAGUACACCACUUGCUAAGUUCCUAUUCAUUUCCGGUACAUGCAGGACAUUUGUCAAAGUGAUCUUCUUUCCCGAAGUGACAAGGAGUUCAACAUUUCCUUUACCGAUCACCUUUGAUCUUCCUUCAUUUCCCAUUUGUAUUCUUGGUUGUCUUCAAUGUCAUGAUAAAUUUUGAAAAGAGACUUAUCAUAACAUACAUGGAUUGUAGCGCAUGUAUCGUACCAUCGGCCCGGAACUUUGCCUUGGAUUGCAUUGAUUUCACUCACUGUUGCAAUAAUUUCAUCAAUAGAGUUCACUUGUCCUUCCUUCUUAUGUUGUUUCCUAUGCCUGCAAUCUUUAGCAUAGUGUCCCGUUUUCCACAAACAUAGCACGGUCAUUUGGCUUUGUUUUUGAAUUUUCCUUGCUCCUUUCUAGGACCAAGAAAUUUUCCUUUUCUUUUUGAACUUGUUGGAGUUGUCAACAUUAUCCAUGACAUUGGCUUUCGAAGAGCCAUCAUAAGAAUUUCCAAUCUUAUCUCUUGCCCUUGAUUCUUCUUCAAUGCGAAGAUGUUUCUGUAUGUCUUCUAAAGAAAAAUCUUCGGAAUUGUGAAGAAUUUUCUUCCUAUAUCCUCUCCAAGAACCAGGGAGUUUA
This 750-nucleotide long non-coding RNA is filed under the name Olea europaea subsp. europaea. The record is from RNAcentral. Lineage: Eukaryota; Viridiplantae; Streptophyta; Magnoliopsida; Lamiales; Oleaceae.